AAUAGAUACCCUGGUAGUCCACGCCGUAAACGAUGAGUGCUAAGUGUUAGAGGGUUUCCGCCCUUUAGUGCUGCAGCAAACGCAUUAAGCACUCCGCCUGGGGAGUACGGUCGCAAGACUGAAACUCAAAGGAAUUGACGGGGGCCCGCACAAGCGGUGGAGCAUGUGGUUUAAUUCGAAGCAACGCGAAGAACCUUACCAGGUCUUGACAUCCUUCGCUACUUCUAGAGAUAGAAGGUUCCCCUUCGGGGGACGGAGUGACAGGUGGUGCAUGGUUGUCGUCAGCUCGUGUCGUGAGAUGUUGGGUUAAGUCCCGCAACGAGCGCAACCCUUGACCUUAGUUGCCAGCAUUUAGUUGGGCACUCUAAGGUGACUGCCGGUGACAAACCGGAGGAAGGUGGGGAUGACGUCAAAUCAUCAUGCCCCUUAUGACCUGGGCUACACACGUGCUACAAUGGAUGGUACAAAGGGCUGCAAGACUGCGAAGUCAAGCCAAUCCCAUAAAAACCAUUCUCAGUUCGGAUUGCAGGCUG
This 533-nucleotide ribosomal RNA is filed under the name uncultured bacterium. Its description in RNAcentral is "bacterial SSU rRNA". It matches the Rfam family "Bacterial small subunit ribosomal RNA", at positions 777 to 1307 of the family's 1533-position model. The record is from RNAcentral.